UCCCUGCUGGCUCAGAGAUUAAAGCAUCUGCCUGGAAUGCAGGAGACCAGGUUUGAUCCCUGGGUCGGGAA
This 71-nucleotide transfer RNA is filed under the name Bos taurus (domestic cattle). It matches the Rfam family "tRNA". From Rfam's summary of the family: Transfer RNA (tRNA) molecules are approximately 80 nucleotides in length. Their secondary structure includes four short double-helical elements and three loops (D, anti-codon, and T loops). RNAcentral also lists the same sequence under 1 other name. The record is from Rfam by way of RNAcentral. Lineage: Eukaryota; Metazoa; Chordata; Mammalia; Artiodactyla; Bovidae.